AUUCCCGGCUGCAACACAAGUCGAACGCUGUAGCAAUACAGAGUGGCAGACGGGUGAGUAACGCGUGGGAACCUUCCCAGUGGUGCGGAAUAGCUCAGGGAAACUUGAGGUAAUACCGCAUAAGCCCCUAGGGGGAAAGAUUUAUCGCCAUUGGAUGGGCCCGCGUCGGAUUAGCUAGUUGGGGGUGUAAUGGACCACCAAGGCGACGAUCAGUAGCUGGUUUGAGAGGAUGAUCAGCCACAAUGGGACUGAGACACGGCCCAUACUCCUACGGGAGGCAGCAGUAGGGAAUUUUGCGCAAUGGGCGAAAGCCUGACGCAGCAACGCCGCGUGAUUGAUGAAGCCCUUCGGGGUGUAAAGAUCUGUCAGUGGGGACGAAACUUGACGGUACCCACAGAGGAAGCAUCGGCUAACUCCGUG
RNAcentral lists this ribosomal RNA (420 nucleotides) under uncultured bacterium. RNAcentral's name for it is "bacterial SSU rRNA". It matches the Rfam family "Bacterial small subunit ribosomal RNA", at positions 51 to 507 of the family's 1533-position model. The record is from RNAcentral.